CUUCCACACUGUGCACAUGGCUACGUCAUUCUCACGUGACGGCCAGCAUGCCUUGAUCUCGGUCUGGGUGUAUCAAUCAUCCAUUCAAACUAUUCUCUACGUCAACUUUAACUGUACCAUUUGCUUCCAAUUUGGAGAUAUAAUUUGCAUCUCAUUUAUUUAGCAUAAGAAAAUCAGGACAGUUUAAUAUAUUAUUAAGAGUGAAUUAUUAUGAUUAAGAAGAUCACAAUAUUAUCCCUCAAUAAUAUUAAAAAAUUAUCUUUAACUGAUCUUCUAUUCAACAGUUUAGAACUCUAUUCCUUCAAUUAUCUCGUUUGCACAGACUCAUGACAUAAUAUUAGGUCCAACAAUAUUGCAUUGAAUUUGGAAAAAAAUAAUAUGGUCUUUGUAGGUUUAGUUAGGUUUCGUUUGCCAUAGGUUGGAUUAACUUGCGGCUUUUGUUAAAUAACGGAAUUGAUUUGUUUAUAAAAGUAAAAACAAUAAAAUGACAAGGACGCAUAAAUACACACCCUCUAAUUAGUAUCUCCAACGAGAGAUGGAAACUGUUUUGAAAUGAACAAUGUACAUUUUUUUUUACUCCACAGUAAGCUGAAAUUUGUUGAUGCAAAAUACACAACUCACUGGAAAAUAGAAAAAAUUAAUCUGUAUUUCCUUUUUUUUGUUUUUUCCAUCUCCCAGUUCAGAGAAAUUGAUGGUAUUGCGCGGUUCCUCACGCCCCUUGUUGAAUACUGGCUGUUCAAAAAAAAAAAGAAAAUUUUUAAUGUACCAAAAACAACAUUAAAUACAAAACUGUAUAAAAGAGGAGCUCAAAAUUAUC
This 817-nucleotide long non-coding RNA is filed under the name Malus domestica (apple). RNAcentral describes it as "long non-coding RNA (MDOM_LNC010142)". The record is from RNAcentral. Lineage: Eukaryota; Viridiplantae; Streptophyta; Magnoliopsida; Rosales; Rosaceae.